RNAcentral lists this ribosomal RNA (451 nucleotides) under uncultured bacterium. RNAcentral describes it as "partial 16S ribosomal RNA". It matches the Rfam family "Bacterial small subunit ribosomal RNA", at positions 354 to 796 of the family's 1533-position model. The record is from RNAcentral.
GUGGGGAAUAUUGGACAAUGGGGGGAACCCUGAUCCAGCCAUGCCGCGUGUGUGAAGAAGGCCUUUUGGUUGUAAAGCACUUUAAGCGAGGAGGAGGCUACCGAGAUUAAUACUCUUGGAUAGUGGACGUUACUCGCAGAAUAAGCACCGGCUAACUCUGUGCCAGCAGCCGCGGUAAUACAGAGGGUGCAAGCGUUAAUCGGAUUUACUGUGCGUAAAGCGCGCGUAGGUGGCCAAUUAAGUCAAAUGUGAAAUCCCCGAGCUUAACUUGGGAAUUGCAUUCGAUACUGGUUGGCUAGAGUAUGGGAGAGGAUGGUAGAAUUCCAGGUGUAGCGGUUAAAUGCGUAGAGAUCUGGAGGAAUACCGAUGGCGAAGGCAGCCAUCUGGCCUAAUACUGACACUGAGGUGCGAAAGCAUGGGGAGCAAACAGGAUUAGAAACCCUAGUAGUCC